Molecule: ribosomal RNA, 446 nt
Filed under: uncultured bacterium
Lineage: Bacteria
Description: partial 16S ribosomal RNA
Rfam family: Bacterial small subunit ribosomal RNA
Source: RNAcentral
GUGAGGAAUAUUGCGCAAUGGACGAAAGUCUGACGCAGCCAUGCCGCGUGAAGGAUUGACGGCCCUAUGGGUUGUAAACUUCUUUUGUAUAGGAAUAAACCCUCGUUCGUGAACGAGGCUGAAGGUACUAUAAGAAUAAGCACCGGCUAACUCCGUGCCAGCAGCCGCGGUAAUACGGAGGGUGCAAGCGUUAUCCGGAUCUAUUGGGUUUAAAGGGUCCGUAGGCGGAUCGUUAAGUCAGUGGUGAAAUCCUACCGCUCAACGGUAGAACUUCCAUUGAUACUGGCGAUCUUGAGUAUGUAUGAAGUUGGCGGAAUGUGUGGUGUAGCGGUGAAAUGCUUAGAUAUCACACAGAACACCGAUUGCGAAGGCAGCUGACUAAUACACAACUGACGCUGAGGGACGAAAGUGUGGGGAUCAAACAGGAUUAGAUACCCGAGUAGUCC